GAUGAACGCUAGCGGCAGGCUUAACACAUGCAAGUCGAGGGGUAUGCCGAUUUAUCGGCAGAGACCGGCGCACGGGUGCGUAACGCGUAUGCAAUCUACCUUUCACAGAGGAUAGCCCAGAGAAAUUUGGAUUAAUACCUCAUAGUAUAGCAGUUUCGCAUGAAACCACUAUUAAAGUUCCAACGGUGAAAGAUGAGCAUGCGUCCCAUUAGCUAGAUGGUAAGGUAACGGCUUACCAUGGCUACGAUGGGUAGGGGUCCUGAGAGGGAGAUCCCCCACACUGGUACUGAGACACGGACCAGACUCCUACGGGAGGCAGCAGUGAGGAAUAUUGGUCAAUGGACGCAAGUCUGAACCAGCCAUGCCGCGUGCAGGAUGACGGUCCUAUGGUAUUGUAAACUGCUUUACACAGGAAGAAACAACGCUACGUGUAGCGUCUUGACGGUACUGGUGAGAAUAAGGAUCGGCUAACUCCGUG
Molecule: ribosomal RNA, 478 nt
Filed under: uncultured bacterium
Lineage: Bacteria
Description: bacterial SSU rRNA
Rfam family: Bacterial small subunit ribosomal RNA
Source: RNAcentral